RNAcentral lists this ribosomal RNA (254 nucleotides) under uncultured bacterium. RNAcentral's name for it is "partial 16S ribosomal RNA". It matches the Rfam family "Bacterial small subunit ribosomal RNA", at positions 524 to 776 of the family's 1533-position model. The record is from RNAcentral.
UAUAGAGGGGGCAAGCGUUGCUCGGAAUCACUGGGCGUAGAGCGCACGUAGGCGGAUCUUUAAGUCAGGGGUGAAAUCCCGGAGCUCAACUCCGGAACUGCCUUUGAUACUGAGGACCUUCGAGUUCGGGAGAGGUGAGUGGAACUGCGAGUGUAGAGGUGAAAUUCGUAGAGAUCCGGAGGAACACCAGUGGCGAAGGCGACUCGCUGGGCCGUACCUGACGCUAAGACGCGACAGCAUGGGGAGCGAACGGG